This 30-nucleotide non-coding RNA is filed under the name Cricetulus griseus (Chinese hamster). Lineage: Eukaryota; Metazoa; Chordata; Mammalia; Rodentia; Cricetidae. The record is from RNAcentral.
UGUUUACUCUUUCAGACGGAUAAUAAUGAC